This 656-nucleotide ribosomal RNA is filed under the name Salmonella enterica. Its description in RNAcentral is "partial 23S ribosomal RNA". It matches the Rfam family "Bacterial large subunit ribosomal RNA", at positions 2220 to 2870 of the family's 2925-position model. The record is from RNAcentral. Lineage: Bacteria; Pseudomonadati; Pseudomonadota; Gammaproteobacteria; Enterobacterales; Enterobacteriaceae.
UUCUAACGUGGACCCGUAAUCCGGGUUGCGGACAGUGUCUGGUGGGUAGUUUGACUGGGGCGGUCUCCUCCUAAAGAGUAACGGAGGAGCACGAAGGUUGGCUAAUCCUGGUCGGACAUCAGGAGGUUAGUGCAAUGGCAUAAGCCAGCUUGACUGCGAGCGUGACGGCGCGAGCAGGUGCGAAAGCAGGUCAUAGUGAUCCGGUGGUUCUGAAUGGAAGGGCCAUCGCUCAACGGAUAAAAGGUACUCCGGGGAUAACAGGCUGAUACCGCCCAAGAGUUCAUAUCGACGGCGGUGUUUGGCACCUCGAUGUCGGCUCAUCACAUCCUGGGGCUGAAGUAGGUCCCAAGGGUAUGGCUGUUCGCCAUUUAAAGUGGUACGCGAGCUGGGUUUAGAACGUCGUGAGACAGUUCGGUCCCUAUCUGCCGUGGGCGCUGGAGAACUGAGGGGGGCUGCUCCUAGUACGAGAGGACCGGAGUGGACGCAUCACUGGUGUUCGGGUUGUCAUGCCAAUGGCACUGCCCGGUAGCUAAAUGCGGAAGAGAUAAGUGCUGAAAGCAUCUAAGCACGAAACUUGCCCCGAGAUGAGUUCUCCCUGAGACUUAGAGUCUCCUGAAGGAACGUUGAAGACGACGACGUUGAUAGGCCGGGUGUGU